RNAcentral lists this long non-coding RNA (2126 nucleotides) under Citrus sinensis (sweet orange). RNAcentral describes it as "long non-coding RNA (CSIN_LNC002712)". The record is from RNAcentral. Lineage: Eukaryota; Viridiplantae; Streptophyta; Magnoliopsida; Sapindales; Rutaceae.
UAGGUGGAAUCUACUUUUAAAAGUUUUGUAGGGUGUUUUUAUAUUUUGGUAAGACUUAUGUCAUAUGUGGAAAGAGAUUGGCUAGUUACAUCAUUUCUGAUCAGAGCUGGUUUCUGAAUGUUAAUUCUCUGUAUAUUUGUUUGCAAAUCACAAGCCGCAGAGUGCAUUUAUCUUCAAAUUGUACACAAUUUUGAAGAUCAGUCAAUUAUCUGACAAUUACAAGAAUCCAAACCAAAUAUUUCCCUGUGUUCAUAAUAUGUAGAGGGAGAAAAGAACUGUAAUUGAAACUGAGAGAUAUUGAUGGAUCUUCUGAAUUGAAAAAUUCUCGUAUGAAAGAUUUUGAAGCAAGACAGUAACUGAACAAAUUUACGAUUUUAUUUGAGAAAUCAGAAUUAUCUUUUUGCCCUAGACCAAUAGAAUUUUUAAUUUUUUUAAUUAUUAUUUUCUAAUUGUGAAUCAUCCUAACAUCAUAUCAACUCUAGAAUCUUUUUAAACCUUUGUUCAUUUGAAGUGUUAAAGUUGGUUUCAGAUAUGUUAAAAGCCGAAAUGACAAGCAGUUGUGGAGCAAGAAACAUGAGGAUGAGACAAAAAACUGUGCUCCCGAAGCCACAUCUAAUGGACUCUCAAUUGUUCCUUGUGGUCUCAUCGCAUGGAGUUUGUUCAAUGAUUCAUAUGGAUUUUCAAUAAAAAAUAAGAUGGUCAAGGUCAGUAAGAAGAACAUAGCUUGGGAGAGUGACAAAAAGCAUAAAUUCGGGUCAGAUGUUUACCCCAAAAAUUUCCAGAAUGGAGUUUUAAUUGGAGGUGGAAAACUUAAUUCUAGCAUACCUGUGAGUAUACCUAUAUCUCUGUUUUGUUUAUAUGACAUUAUUUCUAUUCUAGUUUUCAUUUUCCCUAUUACUUCUUGGUUGAAUUUCUUUCAGAAUAAGAGUUGCUCAUUACUGGAUUGCAUGUAACAGUUGAGCAAACAAGAGGCUCUUAUAGUAUGGAUGCGUACUGCAGCACUGCCAACUUUUAGGAAACUGUAUGGAAGAAUAGAAAGUGAUAUUCAAGCCAAUGAUUCAGUUACAGUCAUAAUUGAGAACAAUUAUAACACUUACAGUUUCGGUGGUAAAAAGAAGCUGGUUCUUUCAACCACGACUUGGAUAGGUGGAAAAAAUGAUUUUUUGGGCAUAGCAUAUAUUACUGUUGGUGGAUUAUGCCUGUUCUUAGCAAUAAGCUUCAUACUUGUGUAUGUUGUCAUGCCAAGGUGAGUAAAUGGUCCAAAGUCAUACUUAUUGCAAUUCUUGCUCGAGUAAACUACCAUUUUCUUCCGGGAUGAUAGAUUUAAUUUCCCUCUUAUUUGUUACUUGAAGAGAUAAUACUAGCUUGGGAUAACCAGGAAACUUGAAUCCUUACCAAUCCAACCUCUCAUAGAAACUCGGGAAAAAAUUAACAUGAUAUUGCUGAUAAUGCAAAGGAUUUUAUUCUUUGGAAGAUAAUAUAACUUCUUGUGUCGUGUUGUUGCAAAAACAAACUGGGUAUAUAGUGUUUGAGACGGUUUUUAUGUUAUUUGCAGGCCACUUGGGGAUCCAGCUUUCUUGUCUUGGAACAGGCAUCCAGCAGGACAUCAGAUAUAGGUUUCUCACUGUAUAUAUUCCGCAUCUAUCUUCAAUUGUCACAAUUAUUCCUUGCGUCCGUGGUUACUGAGUAACUGUAGUUUUUACAUUUGAUGAUGGAUGUUCUUAUUUGGAAUGCAAAAUUGUUUUUCUCAAUAAGAAAAACAUUUGCUUUUUCUUAACUCUGUUAAAAUUAAAUUACUUUGACAUGGAUUAUUGUUGAAACUGAGAGAUAUUGAUGGAUCUUCUGAAUUGAAAAAUUCUCGUAUGAAAGAUUUUGAAGCAAGACAGUAACUGAACAAAUUUACGAUUUUAUUUGAGAAAUCAGAAUUAUCUUUUUGCCCUAGACCAAUAGAAUUUUUAAUUUUUUUAAUUAUUAUUUUCUAAUUGUGAAUCAUCCUAACAUCAUAUCAACUCUAGAAUCUUUUUAAACCUUUGUUCAUUUGAAGUGUUAAAGUUGGUUUCAGAUAUGUUAAAAGCCGAAAUGACAAGCAGUUGUGGAGCAAGAAACAUGAGGAUGAGACAAAAAAC